GAUGAACGCUGGCGGCGUGCCUAAUACAUGCAAGUCGAGCGAACGGACGCGUAUCUUUCUUCUCUGAUUUUAGCGGCUGACGGGUGAGUAACUCGUGUAUCACCUCCCUUUCAUUCUUGGAUAACUUCUUGAAACCGUUGCUAAUACCGUCUAAUAUUUUGAACCUCUUUUUUCAUAAGUGUAAUACGGUCUUUCUGUCUCUUAUCGAUUGUUCCGCCCUGCAUUAGCUAGUUGGUAAGGUAACGGCUUACCAAGGCAACGAUGCAUAGCCGACCUGAGAGGGGGAUAGGCCACAAUGGAACUGAGACACGGACCAGACGACUACGGGAGGCAGCAGAAGGGAAUAUUCCGAAAGGGGCGAAAGCAUGACGGAGCAACGCCGAGUGAGAGAAGAAGGUCUUCGGAUCGUAAAACUCUGUUAUUAGGGAAGAAAAAAUGUGUAAGUAAAUGUGCACAGCUUGACGGUAACUAAUAAGAAAGCCACGGCUAACUACGUG
Molecule: ribosomal RNA, 497 nt
Filed under: uncultured bacterium
Lineage: Bacteria
Description: partial 16S ribosomal RNA
Rfam family: Bacterial small subunit ribosomal RNA
Source: RNAcentral